RNAcentral lists this ribosomal RNA (1029 nucleotides) under Parastagonospora uniseptata. RNAcentral describes it as "SSU rRNA". It matches the Rfam family "Eukaryotic small subunit ribosomal RNA", at positions 74 to 1113 of the family's 1831-position model. The record is from RNAcentral. Lineage: Eukaryota; Fungi; Ascomycota; Dothideomycetes; Pleosporales; Phaeosphaeriaceae.
UUAUACCGUGAAACUGCGAAUGGCUCAUUAAAUCAGUUAUCGUUUAUUUGAUAGUACCUUACUACUUGGAUAACCGUGGUAAUUCUAGAGCUAAUACAUGCUGAAAACCCCAACUUCGGGAGGGGUGUAUUUAUUAGAUAAAAAACCAACGCCCUUCGGGGCUUCUUGGUGAUUCAUGAUAACUUUACGGAUCGCAUGGCCUUGCGCCGGCGACGGUUCAUUCAAAUUUCUGCCCUAUCAACUUUCGAUGGUAAGGUAUUGGCUUACCAUGGUUUCAACGGGUAACGGGGAAUUAGGGUUCGAUUCCGGAGAGGGAGCCUGAGAAACGGCUACCACAUCCAAGGAAGGCAGCAGGCGCGCAAAUUACCCAAUCCCGACACGGGGAGGUAGUGACAAUAAAUACUGAUACAGGGCUCUUUUGGGUCUUGUAAUUGGAAUGAGUACAAUUUAAACCUCUUAACGAGGAACAAUUGGAGGGCAAGUCUGGUGCCAGCAGCCGCGGUAAUUCCAGCUCCAAUAGCGUAUAUUAAAGUUGUUGCAGUUAAAAAGCUCGUAGUUGAACCUUGGGUCUGGCUGGCAGGUCCGCCUCACCGCGUGUACUUGUCCGGCCGGGCCUUCCUUCUGGAGAACCUCAUGCCCUUCACUGGGCGUGUUGGGGACCAGGACUUUUACUUUGAAAAAAUUAGAGUGUUCAAAGCAGGCCUUUGCUCGAAUACGUUAGCAUGGAAUAAUAGAAUAGGACGUGCGGUCCUAUUUUGUUGGUUUCUAGGACCGCCGUAAUGAUUAAUAGGGACAGUCGGGGGCAUCAGUAUUCAAUUGUCAGAGGUGAAAUUCUUGGAUUUAUUGAAGACUAACUACUGCGAAAGCAUUUGCCAAGGAUGUUUUCAUUAAUCAGUGAACGAAAGUUAGGGGAUCGAAGACGAUCAGAUACCGUCGUAGUCUUAACCGUAAACUAUGCCGACUAGGGAUCGGGCGAUGUUCUUUUUCUGACUCGCUCGGCACCUUACGAGAAAUCAAAGUUUUUGGGUC